RNAcentral lists this transfer RNA (76 nucleotides) under Staphylococcus aureus. Its description in RNAcentral is "tRNA-Thr". It matches the Rfam family "tRNA". Rfam says of the family: Transfer RNA (tRNA) molecules are approximately 80 nucleotides in length. Their secondary structure includes four short double-helical elements and three loops (D, anti-codon, and T loops). The record is from RNAcentral. Lineage: Bacteria; Bacillati; Bacillota; Bacilli; Caryophanales; Staphylococcaceae.
GCCGGCCUAGCUCAAUUGGUAGAGCAACUGACUUGUAAUCAGUAGGUUGGGGAUUCAAGUCCUCUGGCCGGCACCA